This 253-nucleotide ribosomal RNA is filed under the name uncultured bacterium. RNAcentral describes it as "partial 16S ribosomal RNA". It matches the Rfam family "Bacterial small subunit ribosomal RNA", at positions 524 to 776 of the family's 1533-position model. The record is from RNAcentral.
UACGGGGGGGGCAAGCGUUGUUCGGAAUUACUGGGCGUAAAGGGCUUGUAGGUGGCCAACUAAGUCAGGUGUGAAAUUUCGGAGCUUAACUCCGAAACUGCAUUCGAUACUGCCGUGCUUGAGGACUGGAGAGGAGACUGGAAUUUACGGUGUAGCGGUGAAAUGCGUAGAUAUCGUAAGGAAGACCAGUGGCGAAGGCGGGUCUCUGGACAGUUCCUGACGCUGAGGCACGAAGGCCAGGGGAGCAAACGGG